AUAUGGUUAAGCUACUAAGAGCACACGGAGGAUGCCUAGGCGCUAGGAGCCGAAGAAGGACGUGGCGAACAACGAAACUGCCUCGGGGAGCUGUAAG
This 97-nucleotide ribosomal RNA is filed under the name Paenibacillus woosongensis. RNAcentral describes it as "partial 23S ribosomal RNA". It matches the Rfam family "Bacterial large subunit ribosomal RNA", at positions 1 to 92 of the family's 2925-position model. The record is from RNAcentral. Lineage: Bacteria; Bacillati; Bacillota; Bacilli; Caryophanales; Paenibacillaceae.